GAUCCACCCAUCUUGGCCUCCCAAUGUGCAGGGAUUACAGGCAUAAGCCACAGAGCCCGGCCUACAUAUUGCUUAUUAUUCAUACUUAAAAGCGCAUGCCUGGGAAUCGGGGGCUGGAGAGGGCUGAAGGCUCCCCAAGCCACCUUCCCAAAUCCUACGUCUCAUCUGUGCCAUGAAAGGGGCAGGUUAGAUGUCAGCGUUUCCCACACUAGCCUGAGUGUAAGCAUCCACUGAGGGAACUUCCAAAUAAUACAGACUCCCAGAUCACGCUGAUUCCAGGAGGUCUGGGACGGGUGCAAGGAAUUUCAAGAAGUAACAUCAAGUUAUUCUUAUGCUCAGAGAAGGCUAAUAAAUUUGGGGCGAGGCCAAAAGGCGUUGGAAGCCAGUAGUUUGAAAGAAAAAUAGCUUUCCAAAGGCUUUCGCUUUGUAAAAACUAAAUGGUGCCUUUUGGAAUACAAUGUGAACAUAACUUUUCCAAGGAUUUAAGGUGUUGAUGAGAAAGACAUUCUGAGACCUGCCAGCAGAUGGAGCCAUAAAACAAGAAAUAGAUGUUUACAGCCUCAACUCGGGAGAAAAAUACCGUGAAUGCACCUUACACUAUAGAAGUAACACUUUUCCCUCUGCUUUAUUUUCUCUAUAUGCUAAACUCCUUACUUGCCUCUGCUAAAGAACAUCGCUGGAGUGUCUUGGUGUGUGAAGUAUGAAAUAGUUUCUAAAGACAUAAGUUGUGAUAUAGCAAGACAGAGGCAAAACCCCUCAUUCUUCUGAGAGUGUAAACAUCAUGUCGCAAGAAGCUCACCUAAAAUUUGAAAAGGAAAACUCAACGAAAAUUUGAAAAGAAAUUCAAGGAAAAAAAAAUGUGACCUUUAAAAUUUCCAUGUUGACAGCACCACCAGGACCCCUUCUGGGAUCCGUUGCUAGGUAUAACUUCGUGCCUGACUCUGGAAGUUAAAAAAUGAAUAGUUACAGAUUCUUUUUCCGGGAGCCGCCUCUAGAGGGGUGUACCCACCAGGGAAGGGAACAGGAGGAUCGGCAUGGCGGAGCACGUUGGUCUGAGCACAUGUGAGGUGUUUAGAAAACUGCAAGUCAUCCAGCACGGGAGCAACGCCAGGCACAGGCAGGGGAGUCGUAGGGGAUGAUGCUGCAGAAGGGACAGACCGGGUUCUAGAAGUUGGCGAGCAAGGAAAUGUGAGCAUCUGGACUGCCGAACGCACCCUGUUAAGUGCUACUCAUGUCGUUCUGAUUGGGCUGAAUUGAAGAGCUGCCCAGCCUCUCCCCUGGCCCUGAGACCCCUGACCUAGAGGGACUAACUAGAGGGACGGCAUGGCAAUGGCAAGUGUACCCAAGACAGCAUGCCCGGAGGUUUAUCCAGGAAUAUUCAUCCAGAGGGAAAGAGCAAUGGACGAUGAGCAUGUUGGACCAGAUGGGCACGUGUCCAAGUGCACCCUAUGGAAUGUAUCAGCAUCGGCCUCGCCUGGAAGCCUGAUAGAAAUGCAGAUUCCCAGGCCCUGCCCAGGCCUGCUGUAUCCGGAUCUCUUGGUGGUGGAGCCCAGGGAUCUGCAUGUCACGAGCUUGCUCAGAGUAUCUGUGAACUGAGUUCAAUCCACAGCCCUCUACUCCAAUGCUAGCCAGACCCUGGGGCCAUUGCCUCUCCCCCCACAUGCCCCUCCAUACUGUCAGCACCUCUGCAUUGUGGCCUUUCUGCCACCCCCAACCGACUUGGGGAUCCCAACCACCCACACCCAGGGGCCUGCACCAGACUGCAGAGUGUUGCCUGAGGGGACACAGUCCACAGUCAUCCUUUUCUCCUCUCCUUCCCAGUUAAUUCCAUUUUCCACGCCUCUCAUGGCGAUUCCUGAUCUUCACAGGCCCCAGAGCCUCUGACCCUGGUGUUCCCCCUGAGAAAAUGAGGCCAGGGUUUGUGAGCUGCCCAUGCCACACCUGUGCCUGCCUCAUCAUGUGGAGUCCCUUUAGCUCAGCUCUAGGGUCCCCCUUCUUGCUUCCUCAAAGAUCCUCCUCUCUCCCAAGUUCCUCUUCUUCUUCUCAAUACUUCUCUCUUCUGGGGCUUCCUCCUUGACACGUCAAUGUUGUCUAGCUGUCUUCAUCAAUUUUCUUUAUUAUUUUAUUUGUAUAUAUUGUAUUUUAUUUUAAGACAGAGUCUUGCUGUGUCAGCCA
Molecule: long non-coding RNA, 2175 nt
Filed under: Homo sapiens (human)
Lineage: Eukaryota; Metazoa; Chordata; Mammalia; Primates; Hominidae
Description: HSALNT0371760
Source: RNAcentral